UGUGAGAUUUCUACCAAGGGAUCGAUAUAGAGUAAGGUUUUAGUGAAAUUGUUUUUGUAUUUGUAUUUGUAUACUAGGAUGUUAUGAGAUGAAAUUUAUGAAGCGUAGAAGGAAAGUUAACUAGCUACUGUAUAGUUUGCAACGAGCGGUUUUCAAUUCCCCUUGACCGACUAUAUAUAGGAAACGUAUAUAGUUAUCUUAUUAUACAUUUAUUUUUCACUUCAUCAAGAGACGGGAAAAGCACGCGAAAUAUCGUCAUUUUCUAAACCGUUUCCUGCUAAAAGUGAGCAGGAACAUGUGAAGUCGAAAAAAGCCAGCAAUCAAAAACAUUAUAUAUGUAUACAUUUCAAAGCC
Molecule: small RNA, 354 nt
Filed under: Histoplasma capsulatum
Lineage: Eukaryota; Fungi; Ascomycota; Eurotiomycetes; Onygenales; Ajellomycetaceae
Also listed under: 1 other name
Description: hypothetical RNA
Source: RNAcentral